Molecule: non-coding RNA, 31 nt
Filed under: Mus musculus (house mouse)
Lineage: Eukaryota; Metazoa; Chordata; Mammalia; Rodentia; Muridae
Source: RNAcentral
UACACAAGGGGUUCUUAACUUAAUGCGGUUC